Long non-coding RNA from Ostrea edulis (European flat oyster), 27025 nucleotides. RefSeq lists it as uncharacterized. The transcript is spliced from 2 exons. The record is from RefSeq and is a predicted model, not a curated record. Lineage: Eukaryota; Metazoa; Mollusca; Bivalvia; Ostreida; Ostreidae.
UCCCUAUCUACAUCCGUGAAGAAGUUGUGGGCUCGAACGACGACGUCGGAGACUUUCGGGGGCGAGAACCGUGCUUCGGGGUUCUCGGUUUCCCCCGGUCAACUUCUCUGUGCGAGGGUCUUUUAUGGUGAAAUCGUCGGCCAAGGUCUCGCCUCUCCACGACUCGCGGUCUGGUAGGAGUAGCGAUAACGGGGUUUUCAACGUUAAGUCGCCGCCUUUCGCAGAGCGGUCAAAGUUCAGAGUUGUAAUUCAGGAUUCCGAGACCGGUCCAGAAUUCCAUGCUGACCCAUGUGAUAUUUCGAUGCUAUCUGAAGCGGGAAAGAGCGUAUAAAAAGUGCCAUUUUCUGGCCAUUCUGGAUGACUUUGACCUUGACCUACUUUUUCAAGGUCAAGGUCACCCAACCCGUCCCAGUGGGUUCCGUCUCUCUACGACGAAGACUUUAGGAGUCGUCAAUUUGUAGGGGACAAAUCGCAAAACAUGAGGGGGGCAUUAACUCCCUUUAGGGGACACCGAAUCCCUUCAUUUGAAAUUCUUCGCUUCUACUCAUUGACCUCUAUGCUUCAGCAAAGGUUUCAUCCUCCUAUCAUUUACGGUUAAAAAGGAGUAGCGAUAACAAUGAUUUCUGCUAACAGGUCCGAUAACUCUGUAAGGGGUCAAAGUUCCAUGACGCAGGGUGAAAUGUAUUCGUUUCUCAAGAAGUGCUCUAGGAUGGACUCUAAAGUUUUUCGAUAAGUCUUAAGACGAAAAUUUUUUUUGACGGCAGGAAAAUAAUAAUAAUAAACAGAACAAUAACAAUAGGACUUUCCACAGAAAGGUGGAAAGCCCUAAUAAUUGAGACGAAAGUGCCACGUAUUGAAUACAUUUGGCAUUCCUAGGUCAGAAUGGGAACUUGAGUCAUGCAAGUGACAUUUUCACGUUAAAAAAUGCGCGUUUGCCUAAAUUUGGAUUUCUCGUAUUCUGUUGAUUUCUACAUUUCAAGAUUGGCAACUGACCAGGUGUAAAGGUGCACAUUUUCCGUUCUCGGAUGGAAAAAGGGGUGGGUUCGAUUCCCCCGGUCAGUUCACAAGGAAAUGUUGAGUCGCCGUGCUUAAAAAAAAUCAAUUUUCGCAUUCGUCAAGGCGUAAAAGAAUGGCAGGUGGUGAGUGUUUAAAACACUAGUGAUCCUAAUUGUUCGCGAACAAUUAGAGGGCUUCCCACCUUCUAGCGGUUUUUCAGUAGUGUUGAAAUGCUAAAAGCCCCCCCCCCCCCUACCCCACCCCACCCUCACCAAAAAAAAAAAAAAAAAAAAAAAAAAAAAAAUGGAUUUGGCUUGAAAAGAAAUUCAAAUUUGCCGCCUUGAGUGUUGUAGUGUUGGAGAUUAAGGCCUUGGUUUCGCACGAUAGUACCGGUCAAAUAUUUGGAAAAAAAGGGUGCGAGUGUUGCAUAGCCGGCACAUAUCAGGUAAAAGUGUAAUGGGACUUGUGCAGGUGUUUGGGGUGACUUUAGACCUGUUAGAUGUGAUAUUUGGAGGUGCAAAGAAACCGGAUGUGCCAUUUUCCUAGAUUGUAGUAACUGCUGGUGCAUGCUGGGAGUCUAUACAAGCCUCAUGUUGUCAGAUGUUGUGAAGAUGCACUGGAUUUGACCGUGUGUGUUGUGGAUUGUGGAAUUGAAUAUACAGUUUGUAAUGGCUCAUCCUAUGUGUUCUAAUUCACGGAGACAAUGUCUUUCAGUCAUUUCACCCAAGGAGGCAUGCAUAUACGGAUUGAUAGGCUUUGACAACAAACAACCAAAAUGGCGGCCGGUGAAUUAGAAAGUGUCUGAGUGCAUGUAGGAUAUCUGAACGGAGAAUAGGAGUACUGCAUCCCAUCUGAUCCUGCAGGUAAGUGUUUAUUUGUUUACAAUGACAGUCAGGAUGGAAUGUCAAUGAGUUCAACUGUCAAGUAAAGUUGCAUCAUCAUUAUAAAAAAAAAAAAAACUUAGUCUUUAUGUUGAUGCAGGCAGACAAUUGAAUCUGGCCUAUGUCUUUUCAUGAAUGUAAAUGGAAUUCAUGUUUGAUUGACAAGACAGUCAAGAAAUGGAAGAAGUGGGUGUAGGUCAGAUGUGUAGGUGUAGGUCAGAUUAGCUAGAAUCCUGUAAUUGUUGCAUGGCAUGAGACCGGUCAAAAUAGUGUAUUGAAACAGCUGAUCACAAUCAGAUCACUUGAAGGGUGGGGGAUUUCUUCCUUGGGGACGACAGGCGUGAUGGGUGGGUUGGCCUUACUCGUGGAGACUGGCCCCUGGAUGCGUGACCUUGACCUUUGACCUUGACCCACUUUCAAGGUCAAACCUCAAAAAUCCUGUUGUUGGGCAUGAAACCGGUCAAAAUAGUGUAUUAUAAACAGCUGAUGACAGACAGAUCACUUGAAGGGUGGGGGGUUUCUUCCUUGGGGACGACAGGCGUGAUGGGUGGGUUGGCCUUACUCGUGGAGACUGGCCCCUUGAUGCCUGACCUUGACCUUUGACCUUGACCCACGUUCAAGGUAAAACUUCAAAAACCCAUGGGGGAGAAAGUGUGACCUUGACCUUUGACCUUGACCUCAUUUUGAAGGUCAGAGAGGUCACGGGGCUUCGUUUAAGUGGUCCCGCGUCUCUAUCUACAUCCGUGAAGAAGUUGUGGGCUCGAACGACGACGUCGGAGACUUUCGGGGGCGAGAACCGUGCUUCGGGGUUCUAGGUUUCCCUCGGUCAACUUCUCUGUGCGAGAGUGUUUCAUCUGGAAUUCGUCGGCGAAGGUCUCGCCUCUCCACGACUUGUGGUCUAGUGGGAGUAGCGAUAACGGGGUUUUCGACGUUAAGUCGCCGCCUUUCGCAGAGCGGUCAAAGUUCAGAGUUGUAAUUCAGGAUUCCGAGACCGGUCCAGAAUUCCAUGCUGACCCAUGUGAUAUUUCGAUGCUAUCUGAAGCGGGAAAGAGCGUAUAAAAAGUGCCAUUUUCUGGCCAUUCUGGAUGACCUUGACCUUUGACCUUGACCUACUUUUUCAAGGUCAAGGUCACCCAACCCGUCCCAGUGGGUUCCGUCUCUCUACGACGAAGACUUUAGGAGUCGUCAAUUUGUAGGGGACAAAUCGCAAAACAUGAGGGGGGCAUUAACUCCCUUUAGGGGACACCGAAUCCCUUCAUUUGAAAUUCUUCGCUUCUACUCAUUGACCUCUAUGCUUCAGCAAAGGUUUCAUCCUCCUAUCAUUUACGGUUAAAAAGGAGUAGCGAUAACAAUGAUUUCUGCUAACAGGUCCGAUAACUCUGUAAGGGGUCAAAGUUCCAUGACGCAGGGUGAAAUGUAUUCGUUUCUCAAGAAGUGCUCUAGGAUGGACUCUAAAGUUUUUCGAUAAGUCUUAAGACGAAAAUUUUUUUUGACGGCAGGAAAAUAAUAAUAAUAAACAGAACAAUAACAAUAGGACUUUCCACAGAAAGGUGGAAAGCCCUAAUAAUUGAGACGAAAGUGCCACGUAUUGAAUACAUUUGGCAUUCCUAGGUCAGAAUGGGAACUUGAGUCAUGCAAGUGACAUUUUCACGUUAAAAAAUGCGCGUUUGCCUAAAUUUGGAUUUCUCGUAUUCUGUUGAUUUCUACAUUUCAAGAUUGGCAACUGACCAGGUGUAAAGGUGCACAUUUUCCGUUCUCGGAUGGAAAAAGGGGUGGGUUCGAUUCCCCCGGUCAGUUCACAAGGAAAUGUUGAGUCGCCGUGCUUAAAAAAAAUCAAUUUUCGCAUUCGUCAAGGCGUAAAAGAAUGGCAGGUGGUGAGUGUUUAAAACACUAGUGAUCCUAAUUGUUCGCGAACAAUUAGAGGGCUUCCCACCUUCUAGCGGUUUUUCAGUAGUGUUGAAAUGCUAAAAGCCCCCCCCCCCCCUACCCCACCCCACCCUCACCAAAAAAAAAAAAAAAAAAAAAAAAAAAAAAAUGGAUUUGGCUUGAAAAGAAAUUCAAAUUUGCCGCCUUGAGUGUUGUAGUGUUGGAGAUUAAGGCCUUGGUUUCGCACGAUAGUACCGGUCAAAUAUUUGGAAAAAAAGGGUGCGAGUGUUGCAUAGCCGGCACAUAUCAGGUAAAAGUGUAAUGGGACUUGUGCAGGUGUUUGGGGUGACUUUAGACCUGUUAGAUGUGAUAUUUGGAGGUGCAAAGAAACCGGAUGUGCCAUUUUCCUAGAUUGUAGUAACUGCUGGUGCAUGCUGGGAGUCUAUACAAGCCUCAUGUUGUCAGAUGUUGUGAAGAUGCACUGGAUUUGACCGUGUGUGUUGUGGAUUGUGGAAUUGAAUAUACAGUUUGUAAUGGCUCAUCCUAUGUGUUCUAAUUCACGGAGACAAUGUCUUUCAGUCAUUUCACCCAAGGAGGCAUGCAUAUACGGAUUGAUAGGCUUUGACAACAAACAACCAAAAUGGCGGCCGGUGAAUUAGAAAGUGUCUGAGUGCAUGUAGGAUAUCUGAACGGAGAAUAGGAGUACUGCAUCCCAUCUGAUCCUGCAGGUAAGUGUUUAUUUGUUUACAAUGACAGUCAGGAUGGAAUGUCAAUGAGUUCAACUGUCAAGUAAAGUUGCAUCAUCAUUAUAAAAAAAAAAAAAACUUAGUCUUUAUGUUGAUGCAGGCAGACAAUUGAAUCUGGCCUAUGUCUUUUCAUGAAUGUAAAUGGAAUUCAUGUUUGAUUGACAAGACAGUCAAGAAAUGGAAGAAGUGGGUGUAGGUCAGAUGUGUAGGUGUAGGUCAGAUUAGCUAGAAUCCUGUAAUUGUUGCAUGGCAUGAGACCGGUCAAAAUAGUGUAUUGAAACAGCUGAUCACAAUCAGAUCACUUGAAGGGUGGGGGAUUUCUUCCUUGGGGACGACAGGCGUGAUGGGUGGGUUGGCCUUACUCGUGGAGACUGGCCCCUGGAUGCGUGACCUUGACCUUUGACCUUGACCCACUUUCAAGGUCAAACCUCAAAAAUCCUGUUGUUGGGCAUGAAACCGGUCAAAAUAGUGUAUUAUAAACAGCUGAUGACAGACAGAUCACUUGAAGGGUGGGGGGUUUCUUCCUUGGGGACGACAGGCGUGAUGGGUGGGUUGGCCUUACUCGUGGAGACUGGCCCCUUGAUGCCUGACCUUGACCUUUGACCUUGACCCACGUUCAAGGUAAAACUUCAAAAACCCAUGGGGGAGAAAGUGUGACCUUGACCUUUGACCUUGACCUCAUUUUGAAGGUCAGAGAGGUCACGGGGCUUCGUUUAAGUGGUCCCGCGUCUCUAUCUACAUCCGUGAAGAAGUUGUGGGCUCGAACGACGACGUCGGAGACUUUCGGGGGCGAGAACCGUGCUUCGGGGUUCUAGGUUUCCCUCGGUCAACUUCUCUGUGCGAGAGUGUUUCAUCUGGAAUUCGUCGGCGAAGGUCUCGCCUCUCCACGACUUGUGGUCUAGUGGGAGUAGCGAUAACGGGGUUUUCGACGUUAAGUCGCCGCCUUUCGCAGAGCGGUCAAAGUUCAGAGUUGUAAUUCAGGAUUCCGAGACCGGUCCAGAAUUCCAUGCUGACCCAUGUGAUAUUUCGAUGCUAUCUGAAGCGGGAAAGAGCGUAUAAAAAGUGCCAUUUUCUGGCCAUUCUGGAUGACCUUGACCUUUGACCUUGACCUACUUUUUCAAGGUCAAGGUCACCCAACCCGUCCCAGUGGGUUCCGUCUCUCUACGACGAAGACUUUAGGAGUCGUCAAUUUGUAGGGGACAAAUCGCAAAACAUGAGGGGGGCAUUAACUCCCUUUAGGGGACACCGAAUCCCUUCAUUUGAAAUUCUUCGCUUCUACUCAUUGACCUCUAUGCUUCAGCAAAGGUUUCAUCCUCCUAUCAUUUACGGUUAAAAAGGAGUAGCGAUAACAAUGAUUUCUGCUAACAGGUCCGAUAACUCUGUAAGGGGUCAAAGUUCCAUGACGCAGGGUGAAAUGUAUUCGUUUCUCAAGAAGUGCUCUAGGAUGGACUCUAAAGUUUUUCGAUAAGUCUUAAGACGAAAAUUUUUUUUGACGGCAGGAAAAUAAUAAUAAUAAACAGAACAAUAACAAUAGGACUUUCCACAGAAAGGUGGAAAGCCCUAAUAAUUGAGACGAAAGUGCCACGUAUUGAAUACAUUUGGCAUUCCUAGGUCAGAAUGGGAACUUGAGUCAUGCAAGUGACAUUUUCACGUUAAAAAAUGCGCGUUUGCCUAAAUUUGGAUUUCUCGUAUUCUGUUGAUUUCUACAUUUCAAGAUUGGCAACUGACCAGGUGUAAAGGUGCACAUUUUCCGUUCUCGGAUGGAAAAAGGGGUGGGUUCGAUUCCCCCGGUCAGUUCACAAGGAAAUGUUGAGUCGCCGUGCUUAAAAAAAAUCAAUUUUCGCAUUCGUCAAGGCGUAAAAGAAUGGCAGGUGGUGAGUGUUUAAAACACUAGUGAUCCUAAUUGUUCGCGAACAAUUAGAGGGCUUCCCACCUUCUAGCGGUUUUUCAGUAGUGUUGAAAUGCUAAAAGCCCCCCCCCCCCCUACCCCACCCCACCCUCACCAAAAAAAAAAAAAAAAAAAAAAAAAAAAAAAUGGAUUUGGCUUGAAAAGAAAUUCAAAUUUGCCGCCUUGAGUGUUGUAGUGUUGGAGAUUAAGGCCUUGGUUUCGCACGAUAGUACCGGUCAAAUAUUUGGAAAAAAAGGGUGCGAGUGUUGCAUAGCCGGCACAUAUCAGGUAAAAGUGUAAUGGGACUUGUGCAGGUGUUUGGGGUGACUUUAGACCUGUUAGAUGUGAUAUUUGGAGGUGCAAAGAAACCGGAUGUGCCAUUUUCCUAGAUUGUAGUAACUGCUGGUGCAUGCUGGGAGUCUAUACAAGCCUCAUGUUGUCAGAUGUUGUGAAGAUGCACUGGAUUUGACCGUGUGUGUUGUGGAUUGUGGAAUUGAAUAUACAGUUUGUAAUGGCUCAUCCUAUGUGUUCUAAUUCACGGAGACAAUGUCUUUCAGUCAUUUCACCCAAGGAGGCAUGCAUAUACGGAUUGAUAGGCUUUGACAACAAACAACCAAAAUGGCGGCCGGUGAAUUAGAAAGUGUCUGAGUGCAUGUAGGAUAUCUGAACGGAGAAUAGGAGUACUGCAUCCCAUCUGAUCCUGCAGGUAAGUGUUUAUUUGUUUACAAUGACAGUCAGGAUGGAAUGUCAAUGAGUUCAACUGUCAAGUAAAGUUGCAUCAUCAUUAUAAAAAAAAAAAAAACUUAGUCUUUAUGUUGAUGCAGGCAGACAAUUGAAUCUGGCCUAUGUCUUUUCAUGAAUGUAAAUGGAAUUCAUGUUUGAUUGACAAGACAGUCAAGAAAUGGAAGAAGUGGGUGUAGGUCAGAUGUGUAGGUGUAGGUCAGAUUAGCUAGAAUCCUGUAAUUGUUGCAUGGCAUGAGACCGGUCAAAAUAGUGUAUUGAAACAGCUGAUCACAAUCAGAUCACUUGAAGGGUGGGGGAUUUCUUCCUUGGGGACGACAGGCGUGAUGGGUGGGUUGGCCUUACUCGUGGAGACUGGCCCCUGGAUGCGUGACCUUGACCUUUGACCUUGACCCACUUUCAAGGUCAAACCUCAAAAAUCCUGUUGUUGGGCAUGAAACCGGUCAAAAUAGUGUAUUAUAAACAGCUGAUGACAGACAGAUCACUUGAAGGGUGGGGGGUUUCUUCCUUGGGGACGACAGGCGUGAUGGGUGGGUUGGCCUUACUCGUGGAGACUGGCCCCUUGAUGCCUGACCUUGACCUUUGACCUUGACCCACGUUCAAGGUAAAACUUCAAAAACCCAUGGGGGAGAAAGUGUGACCUUGACCUUUGACCUUGACCUCAUUUUGAAGGUCAGAGAGGUCACGGGGCUUCGUUUAAGUGGUCCCGCGUCUCUAUCUACAUCCGUGAAGAAGUUGUGGGCUCGAACGACGACGUCGGAGACUUUCGGGGGCGAGAACCGUGCUUCGGGGUUCUAGGUUUCCCUCGGUCAACUUCUCUGUGCGAGAGUGUUUCAUCUGGAAUUCGUCGGCGAAGGUCUCGCCUCUCCACGACUUGUGGUCUAGUGGGAGUAGCGAUAACGGGGUUUUCGACGUUAAGUCGCCGCCUUUCGCAGAGCGGUCAAAGUUCAGAGUUGUAAUUCAGGAUUCCGAGACCGGUCCAGAAUUCCAUGCUGACCCAUGUGAUAUUUCGAUGCUAUCUGAAGCGGGAAAGAGCGUAUAAAAAGUGCCAUUUUCUGGCCAUUCUGGAUGACCUUGACCUUUGACCUUGACCUACUUUUUCAAGGUCAAGGUCACCCAACCCGUCCCAGUGGGUUCCGUCUCUCUACGACGAAGACUUUAGGAGUCGUCAAUUUGUAGGGGACAAAUCGCAAAACAUGAGGGGGGCAUUAACUCCCUUUAGGGGACACCGAAUCCCUUCAUUUGAAAUUCUUCGCUUCUACUCAUUGACCUCUAUGCUUCAGCAAAGGUUUCAUCCUCCUAUCAUUUACGGUUAAAAAGGAGUAGCGAUAACAAUGAUUUCUGCUAACAGGUCCGAUAACUCUGUAAGGGGUCAAAGUUCCAUGACGCAGGGUGAAAUGUAUUCGUUUCUCAAGAAGUGCUCUAGGAUGGACUCUAAAGUUUUUCGAUAAGUCUUAAGACGAAAAUUUUUUUUGACGGCAGGAAAAUAAUAAUAAUAAACAGAACAAUAACAAUAGGACUUUCCACAGAAAGGUGGAAAGCCCUAAUAAUUGAGACGAAAGUGCCACGUAUUGAAUACAUUUGGCAUUCCUAGGUCAGAAUGGGAACUUGAGUCAUGCAAGUGACAUUUUCACGUUAAAAAAUGCGCGUUUGCCUAAAUUUGGAUUUCUCGUAUUCUGUUGAUUUCUACAUUUCAAGAUUGGCAACUGACCAGGUGUAAAGGUGCACAUUUUCCGUUCUCGGAUGGAAAAAGGGGUGGGUUCGAUUCCCCCGGUCAGUUCACAAGGAAAUGUUGAGUCGCCGUGCUUAAAAAAAAUCAAUUUUCGCAUUCGUCAAGGCGUAAAAGAAUGGCAGGUGGUGAGUGUUUAAAACACUAGUGAUCCUAAUUGUUCGCGAACAAUUAGAGGGCUUCCCACCUUCUAGCGGUUUUUCAGUAGUGUUGAAAUGCUAAAAGCCCCCCCCCCCCCUACCCCACCCCACCCUCACCAAAAAAAAAAAAAAAAAAAAAAAAAAAAAAAUGGAUUUGGCUUGAAAAGAAAUUCAAAUUUGCCGCCUUGAGUGUUGUAGUGUUGGAGAUUAAGGCCUUGGUUUCGCACGAUAGUACCGGUCAAAUAUUUGGAAAAAAAGGGUGCGAGUGUUGCAUAGCCGGCACAUAUCAGGUAAAAGUGUAAUGGGACUUGUGCAGGUGUUUGGGGUGACUUUAGACCUGUUAGAUGUGAUAUUUGGAGGUGCAAAGAAACCGGAUGUGCCAUUUUCCUAGAUUGUAGUAACUGCUGGUGCAUGCUGGGAGUCUAUACAAGCCUCAUGUUGUCAGAUGUUGUGAAGAUGCACUGGAUUUGACCGUGUGUGUUGUGGAUUGUGGAAUUGAAUAUACAGUUUGUAAUGGCUCAUCCUAUGUGUUCUAAUUCACGGAGACAAUGUCUUUCAGUCAUUUCACCCAAGGAGGCAUGCAUAUACGGAUUGAUAGGCUUUGACAACAAACAACCAAAAUGGCGGCCGGUGAAUUAGAAAGUGUCUGAGUGCAUGUAGGAUAUCUGAACGGAGAAUAGGAGUACUGCAUCCCAUCUGAUCCUGCAGUCAUUUCACCCAAGGAGGCAUGCAUAUACGGAUUGAUAGGCUUUGACAACAAACAACCAAAAUGGCGGCCGGUGAAUUAGAAAGUGUCUGAGUGCAUGUAGGAUAUCUGAACGGAGAAUAGGAGUACUGCAUCCCAUCUGAUCCUGCAGGUAAGUGUUUAUUUGUUUACAAUGACAGUCAGGAUGGAAUGUCAAUGAGUUCAACUGUCAAGUAAAGUUGCAUCAUCAUUAUAAAAAAAAACAAAACUUAGUCUUUAUGUUGAUGCAGGCAGACAAUUGAAUCUGGCCUAUGUCUUUUCAUGAAUGUAAAUGGAAUUCAUGUUUGAUUGACAAGACAGUCAAGAAAUGGAAGAAGUGGGUGUAGGUCAGAUGUGUAGGUGUAGGUCAGAUUAGCUAGAAUCCUGUAAUUGUUGCAUGGCAUGAGACCGGUCAAAAUAGUGUAUUGAAACAGCUGAUCACAAUCAGAUCACUUGAAGGGUGGGGGAUUUCUUCCUUGGGGACGACAGGCGUGAUGGGUGGGUUGGCCUUACUCGUGGAGACUGGCCCCUGGAUGCGUGACCUUGACCUUUGACCUUGACCCACUUUCAAGGUCAAACCUCAAAAAUCCUGUUGUUGGGCAUGAAACCGGUCAAAAUAGUGUAUUAUAAACAGCUGAUGACAGACAGAUCACUUGAAGGGUGGGGGGUUUCUUCCUUGGGGACGACAGGCGUGAUGGGUGGGUUGGCCUUACUCGUGGAGACUGGCCCCUUGAUGCCUGACCUUGACCUUUGACCUUGACCCACGUUCAAGGUAAAACUUCAAAAACCCAUGGGGGAGAAAGUGUGACCUUGACCUUUGACCUUGACCUCAUUUUGAAGGUCAGAGAGGUCACGGGGCUUCGUUUAAGUGGUCCCGCGUCUCUAUCUACAUCCGUGAAGAAGUUGUGGGCUCGAACGACGACGUCGGAGACUUUCGGGGGCGAGAACCGUGCUUCGGGGUUCUAGGUUUCCCUCGGUCAACUUCUCUGUGCGAGAGUGUUUCAUCUGGAAUUCGUCGGCGAAGGUCUCGCCUCUCCACGACUUGUGGUCUAGUGGGAGUAGCGAUAACGGGGUUUUCGACGUUAAGUCGCCGCCUUUCGCAGAGCGGUCAAAGUUCAGAGUUGUAAUUCAGGAUUCCGAGACCGGUCCAGAAUUCCAUGCUGACCCAUGUGAUAUUUCGAUGCUAUCUGAAGCGGGAAAGAGCGUAUAAAAAGUGCCAUUUUCUGGCCAUUCUGGAUGACCUUGACCUUUGACCUUGACCUACUUUUUCAAGGUCAAGGUCACCCAACCCGUCCCAGUGGGUUCCGUCUCUCUACGACGAAGACUUUAGGAGUCGUCAAUUUGUAGGGGACAAAUCGCAAAACAUGAGGGGGGCAUUAACUCCCUUUAGGGGACACCGAAUCCCUUCAUUUGAAAUUCUUCGCUUCUACUCAUUGACCUCUAUGCUUCAGCAAAGGUUUCAUCCUCCUAUCAUUUACGGUUAAAAAGGAGUAGCGAUAACAAUGAUUUCUGCUAACAGGUCCGAUAACUCUGUAAGGGGUCAAAGUUCCAUGACGCAGGGUGAAAUGUAUUCGUUUCUCAAGAAGUGCUCUAGGAUGGACUCUAAAGUUUUUCGAUAAGUCUUAAGACGAAAAUUUUUUUUGACGGCAGGAAAAUAAUAAUAAUAAACAGAACAAUAACAAUAGGACUUUCCACAGAAAGGUGGAAAGCCCUAAUAAUUGAGACGAAAGUGCCACGUAUUGAAUACAUUUGGCAUUCCUAGGUCAGAAUGGGAACUUGAGUCAUGCAAGUGACAUUUUCACGUUAAAAAAUGCGCGUUUGCCUAAAUUUGGAUUUCUCGUAUUCUGUUGAUUUCUACAUUUCAAGAUUGGCAACUGACCAGGUGUAAAGGUGCACAUUUUCCGUUCUCGGAUGGAAAAAGGGGUGGGUUCGAUUCCCCCGGUCAGUUCACAAGGAAAUGUUGAGUCGCCGUGCUUAAAAAAAAUCAAUUUUCGCAUUCGUCAAGGCGUAAAAGAAUGGCAGGUGGUGAGUGUUUAAAACACUAGUGAUCCUAAUUGUUCGCGAACAAUUAGAGGGCUUCCCACCUUCUAGCAGUUUUUCAGUAGUGUUGAAAUGCUAAAAGCCCCCCCCCCCCCCCCCUACCCCACCCCACCCUCACCAAAAAAAAAAAAAAAAAAAAAAAAAAAAAAUGGAUUUGGCUUGAAAAGAAAUUCAAAUUUGCCGCCUUGAGUGUUGUAGUGUUGGAGAUUAAGGCCUUGGUUUCGCACGAUAGUACCGGUCAAAUAUUUGGAAAAAAAGGGUGCGAGUGUUGCAUAGCCGGCACAUAUCAGGUAAAAGUGUAAUGGGACUUGUGCAGGUGUUUGGGGUGACUUUAGACCUGUUAGAUGUGAUAUUUGGAGGUGCAAAGAAACCGGAUGUGCCAUUUUCCUAGAUUGUAGUAACUGCUGGUGCAUGCUGGGAGUCUAUACAAGCCUCAUGUUGUCAGAUGUUGUGAAGAUGCACUGGAUUUGACCGUGUGUGUUGUGGAUUGUGGAAUUGAAUAUACAGUUUGUAAUGGCUCAUCCUAUGUGUUCUAAUUCACGGAGACAAUGUCUUUCAGUCAUUUCACCCAAGGAGGCAUGCAUAUACGGAUUGAUAGGCUUUGACAACAAACAACCAAAAUGGCGGCCGGUGAAUUAGAAAGUGUCUGAGUGCAUGUAGGAUAUCUGAACGGAGAAUAGGAGUACUGCAUCCCAUCUGAUCCUGCAGGUAAGUGUUUAUUUGUUUACAAUGACAGUCAGGAUGGAAUGUCAAUGAGUUCAACUGUCAAGUAAAGUUGCAUCAUCAUUAUAAAAAAAAAAAAAACUUAGUCUUUAUGUUGAUGCAGGCAGACAAUUGAAUCUGGCCUAUGUCUUUUCAUGAAUGUAAAUGGAAUUCAUGUUUGAUUGACAAGACAGUCAAGAAAUGGAAGAAGUGGGUGUAGGUCAGAUGUGUAGGUGUAGGUCAGAUUAGCUAGAAUCCUGUAAUUGUUGCAUGGCAUGAGACCGGUCAAAAUAGUGUAUUGAAACAGCUGAUCACAAUCAGAUCACUUGAAGGGUGGGGGAUUUCUUCCUUGGGGACGACAGGCGUGAUGGGUGGGUUGGCCUUACUCGUGGAGACUGGCCCCUGGAUGCGUGACCUUGACCUUUGACCUUGACCCACUUUCAAGGUCAAACCUCAAAAAUCCUGUUGUUGGGCAUGAAACCGGUCAAAAUAGUGUAUUAUAAACAGCUGAUGACAGACAGAUCACUUGAAGGGUGGGGGGUUUCUUCCUUGGGGACGACAGGCGUGAUGGGUGGGUUGGCCUUACUCGUGGAGACUGGCCCCUUGAUGCCUGACCUUGACCUUUGACCUUGACCCACGUUCAAGGUAAAACUUCAAAAACCCAUGGGGGAGAAAGUGUGACCUUGACCUUUGACCUUGACCUCAUUUUGAAGGUCAGAGAGGUCACGGGGCUUCGUUUAAGUGGUCCCGCGUCUCUAUCUACAUCCGUGAAGAAGUUGUGGGCUCGAACGACGACGUCGGAGACUUUCGGGGGCGAGAACCGUGCUUCGGGGUUCUAGGUUUCCCUCGGUCAACUUCUCUGUGCGAGAGUGUUUCAUCUGGAAUUCGUCGGCGAAGGUCUCGCCUCUCCACGACUUGUGGUCUAGUGGGAGUAGCGAUAACGGGGUUUUCGACGUUAAGUCGCCGCCUUUCGCAGAGCGGUCAAAGUUCAGAGUUGUAAUUCAGGAUUCCGAGACCGGUCCAGAAUUCCAUGCUGACCCAUGUGAUAUUUCGAUGCUAUCUGAAGCGGGAAAGAGCGUAUAAAAAGUGCCAUUUUCUGGCCAUUCUGGAUGACCUUGACCUUUGACCUUGACCUACUUUUUCAAGGUCAAGGUCACCCAACCCGUCCCAGUGGGUUCCGUCUCUCUACGACGAAGACUUUAGGAGUCGUCAAUUUGUAGGGGACAAAUCGCAAAACAUGAGGGGGGCAUUAACUCCCUUUAGGGGACACCGAAUCCCUUCAUUUGAAAUUCUUCGCUUCUACUCAUUGACCUCUAUGCUUCAGCAAAGGUUUCAUCCUCCUAUCAUUUACGGUUAAAAAGGAGUAGCGAUAACAAUGAUUUCUGCUAACAGGUCCGAUAACUCUGUAAGGGGUCAAAGUUCCAUGACGCAGGGUGAAAUGUAUUCGUUUCUCAAGAAGUGCUCUAGGAUGGACUCUAAAGUUUUUCGAUAAGUCUUAAGACGAAAAUUUUUUUUGACGGCAGGAAAAUAAUAAUAAUAAACAGAACAAUAACAAUAGGACUUUCCACAGAAAGGUGGAAAGCCCUAAUAAUUGAGACGAAAGUGCCACGUAUUGAAUACAUUUGGCAUUCCUAGGUCAGAAUGGGAACUUGAGUCAUGCAAGUGACAUUUUCACGUUAAAAAAUGCGCGUUUGCCUAAAUUUGGAUUUCUCGUAUUCUGUUGAUUUCUACAUUUCAAGAUUGGCAACUGACCAGGUGUAAAGGUGCACAUUUUCCGUUCUCGGAUGGAAAAAGGGGUGGGUUCGAUUCCCCCGGUCAGUUCACAAGGAAAUGUUGAGUCGCCGUGCUUAAAAAAAAUCAAUUUUCGCAUUCGUCAAGGCGUAAAAGAAUGGCAGGUGGUGAGUGUUUAAAACACUAGUGAUCCUAAUUGUUCGCGAACAAUUAGAGGGCUUCCCACCUUCUAGCGGUUUUUCAGUAGUGUUGAAAUGCUAAAAGCCCCCCCCCCCCCCUACCCCACCCCACCCUCACCAAAAAAAAAAAAAAAAAAAAAAAAAAAAAAAUGGAUUUGGCUUGAAAAGAAAUUCAAAUUUGCCGCCUUGAGUGUUGUAGUGUUGGAGAUUAAGGCCUUGGUUUCGCACGAUAGUACCGGUCAAAUAUUUGGAAAAAAAGGGUGCGAGUGUUGCAUAGCCGGCACAUAUCAGGUAAAAGUGUAAUGGGACUUGUGCAGGUGUUUGGGGUGACUUUAGACCUGUUAGAUGUGAUAUUUGGAGGUGCAAAGAAACCGGAUGUGCCAUUUUCCUAGAUUGUAGUAACUGCUGGUGCAUGCUGGGAGUCUAUACAAGCCUCAUGUUGUCAGAUGUUGUGAAGAUGCACUGGAUUUGACCGUGUGUGUUGUGGAUUGUGGAAUUGAAUAUACAGUUUGUAAUGGCUCAUCCUAUGUGUUCUAAUUCACGGAGACAAUGUCUUUCAGUCAUUUCACCCAAGGAGGCAUGCAUAUACGGAUUGAUAGGCUUUGACAACAAACAACCAAAAUGGCGGCCGGUGAAUUAGAAAGUGUCUGAGUGCAUGUAGGAUAUCUGAACGGAGAAUAGGAGUACUGCAUCCCAUCUGAUCCUGCAGGUAAGUGUUUAUUUGUUUACAAUGACAGUCAGGAUGGAAUGUCAAUGAGUUCAACUGUCAAGUAAAGUUGCAUCAUCAUUAUAAAAAAAAACAAAACUUAGUCUUUAUGUUGAUGCAGGCAGACAAUUGAAUCUGGCCUAUGUCUUUUCAUGAAUGUAAAUGGAAUUCAUGUUUGAUUGACAAGACAGUCAAGAAAUGGAAGAAGUGGGUGUAGGUCAGAUGUGUAGGUGUAGGUCAGAUUAGCUAGAAUCCUGUAAUUGUUGCAUGGCAUGAGACCGGUCAAAAUAGUGUAUUGAAACAGCUGAUCACAAUCAGAUCACUUGAAGGGUGGGGGAUUUCUUCCUUGGGGACGACAGGCGUGAUGGGUGGGUUGGCCUUACUCGUGGAGACUGGCCCCUGGAUGCGUGACCUUGACCUUUGACCUUGACCCACUUUCAAGGUCAAACCUCAAAAAUCCUGUUGUUGGGCAUGAAACCGGUCAAAAUAGUGUAUUAUAAACAGCUGAUGACAGACAGAUCACUUGAAGGGUGGGGGGUUUCUUCCUUGGGGACGACAGGCGUGAUGGGUGGGUUGGCCUUACUCGUGGAGACUGGCCCCUUGAUGCCUGACCUUGACCUUUGACCUUGACCCACGUUCAAGGUAAAACUUCAAAAACCCAUGGGGGAGAAAGUGUGACCUUGACCUUUGACCUUGACCUCAUUUUGAAGGUCAGAGAGGUCACGGGGCUUCGUUUAAGUGGUCCCGCGUCUCUAUCUACAUCCGUGAAGAAGUUGUGGGCUCGAACGACGACGUCGGAGACUUUCGGGGGCGAGAACCGUGCUUCGGGGUUCUAGGUUUCCCUCGGUCAACUUCUCUGUGCGAGAGUGUUUCAUCUGGAAUUCGUCGGCGAAGGUCUCGCCUCUCCACGACUUGUGGUCUAGUGGGAGUAGCGAUAACGGGGUUUUCGACGUUAAGUCGCCGCCUUUCGCAGAGCGGUCAAAGUUCAGAGUUGUAAUUCAGGAUUCCGAGACCGGUCCAGAAUUCCAUGCUGACCCAUGUGAUAUUUCGAUGCUAUCUGAAGCGGGAAAGAGCGUAUAAAAAGUGCCAUUUUCUGGCCAUUCUGGAUGACCUUGACCUUUGACCUUGACCUACUUUUUCAAGGUCAAGGUCACCCAACCCGUCCCAGUGGGUUCCGUCUCUCUACGACGAAGACUUUAGGAGUCGUCAAUUUGUAGGGGACAAAUCGCAAAACAUGAGGGGGGCAUUAACUCCCUUUAGGGGACACCGAAUCCCUUCAUUUGAAAUUCUUCGCUUCUACUCAUUGACCUCUAUGCUUCAGCAAAGGUUUCAUCCUCCUAUCAUUUACGGUUAAAAAGGAGUAGCGAUAACAAUGAUUUCUGCUAACAGGUCCGAUAACUCUGUAAGGGGUCAAAGUUCCAUGACGCAGGGUGAAAUGUAUUCGUUUCUCAAGAAGUGCUCUAGGAUGGACUCUAAAGUUUUUCGAUAAGUCUUAAGACGAAAAUUUUUUUUGACGGCAGGAAAAUAAUAAUAAUAAACAGAACAAUAACAAUAGGACUUUCCACAGAAAGGUGGAAAGCCCUAAUAAUUGAGACGAAAGUGCCACGUAUUGAAUACAUUUGGCAUUCCUAGGUCAGAAUGGGAACUUGAGUCAUGCAAGUGACAUUUUCACGUUAAAAAAUGCGCGUUUGCCUAAAUUUGGAUUUCUCGUAUUCUGUUGAUUUCUACAUUUCAAGAUUGGCAACUGACCAGGUGUAAAGGUGCACAUUUUCCGUUCUCGGAUGGAAAAAGGGGUGGGUUCGAUUCCCCCGGUCAGUUCACAAGGAAAUGUUGAGUCGCCGUGCUUAAAAAAAAUCAAUUUUCGCAUUCGUCAAGGCGUAAAAGAAUGGCAGGUGGUGAGUGUUUAAAACACUAGUGAUCCUAAUUGUUCGCGAACAAUUAGAGGGCUUCCCACCUUCUAGCGGUUUUUCAGUAGUGUUGAAAUGCUAAAAGCCCCCCCCCCCCCCUACCCCACCCCACCCUCACCAAAAAAAAAAAAAAAAAAAAAAAAAAAAAAAUGGAUUUGGCUUGAAAAGAAAUUCAAAUUUGCCGCCUUGAGUGUUGUAGUGUUGGAGAUUAAGGCCUUGGUUUCGCACGAUAGUACCGGUCAAAUAUUUGGAAAAAAAGGGUGCGAGUGUUGCAUAGCCGGCACAUAUCAGGUAAAAGUGUAAUGGGACUUGUGCAGGUGUUUGGGGUGACUUUAGACCUGUUAGAUGUGAUAUUUGGAGGUGCAAAGAAACCGGAUGUGCCAUUUUCCUAGAUUGUAGUAACUGCUGGUGCAUGCUGGGAGUCUAUACAAGCCUCAUGUUGUCAGAUGUUGUGAAGAUGCACUGGAUUUGACCGUGUGUGUUGUGGAUUGUGGAAUUGAAUAUACAGUUUGUAAUGGCUCAUCCUAUGUGUUCUAAUUCACGGAGACAAUGUCUUUCAGUCAUUUCACCCAAGGAGGCAUGCAUAUACGGAUUGAUAGGCUUUGACAACAAACAACCAAAAUGGCGGCCGGUGAAUUAGAAAGUGUCUGAGUGCAUGUAGGAUAUCUGAACGGAGAAUAGGAGUACUGCAUCCCAUCUGAUCCUGCAGGUAAGUGUUUAUUUGUUUACAAUGACAGUCAGGAUGGAAUGUCAAUGAGUUCAACUGUCAAGUAAAGUUGCAUCAUCAUUAUAAAAAAAAACAAAACUUAGUCUUUAUGUUGAUGCAGGCAGACAAUUGAAUCUGGCCUAUGUCUUUUCAUGAAUGUAAAUGGAAUUCAUGUUUGAUUGACAAGACAGUCAAGAAAUGGAAGAAGUGGGUGUAGGUCAGAUGUGUAGGUGUAGGUCAGAUUAGCUAGAAUCCUGUAAUUGUUGCAUGGCAUGAGACCGGUCAAAAUAGUGUAUUGAAACAGCUGAUCACAAUCAGAUCACUUGAAGGGUGGGGGAUUUCUUCCUUGGGGACGACAGGCGUGAUGGGUGGGUUGGCCUUACUCGUGGAGACUGGCCCCUGGAUGCGUGACCUUGACCUUUGACCUUGACCCACUUUCAAGGUCAAACCUCAAAAAUCCUGUUGUUGGGCAUGAAACCGGUCAAAAUAGUGUAUUAUAAACAGCUGAUGACAGACAGAUCACUUGAAGGGUGGGGGGUUUCUUCCUUGGGGACGACAGGCGUGAUGGGUGGGUUGGCCUUACUCGUGGAGACUGGCCCCUUGAUGCCUGACCUUGACCUUUGACCUUGACCCACGUUCAAGGUAAAACUUCAAAAACCCAUGGGGGAGAAAGUGUGACCUUGACCUUUGACCUUGACCUCAUUUUGAAGGUCAGAGAGGUCACGGGGCUUCGUUUAAGUGGUCCCGCGUCUCUAUCUACAUCCGUGAAGAAGUUGUGGGCUCGAACGACGACGUCGGAGACUUUCGGGGGCGAGAACCGUGCUUCGGGGUUCUAGGUUUCCCUCGGUCAACUUCUCUGUGCGAGAGUGUUUCAUCUGGAAUUCGUCGGCGAAGGUCUCGCCUCUCCACGACUUGUGGUCUAGUGGGAGUAGCGAUAACGGGGUUUUCGACGUUAAGUCGCCGCCUUUCGCAGAGCGGUCAAAGUUCAGAGUUGUAAUUCAGGAUUCCGAGACCGGUCCAGAAUUCCAUGCUGACCCAUGUGAUAUUUCGAUGCUAUCUGAAGCGGGAAAGAGCGUAUAAAAAGUGCCAUUUUCUGGCCAUUCUGGAUGACCUUGACCUUUGACCUUGACCUACUUUUUCAAGGUCAAGGUCACCCAACCCGUCCCAGUGGGUUCCGUCUCUCUACGACGAAGACUUUAGGAGUCGUCAAUUUGUAGGGGACAAAUCGCAAAACAUGAGGGGGGCAUUAACUCCCUUUAGGGGACACCGAAUCCCUUCAUUUGAAAUUCUUCGCUUCUACUCAUUGACCUCUAUGCUUCAGCAAAGGUUUCAUCCUCCUAUCAUUUACGGUUAAAAAGGAGUAGCGAUAACAAUGAUUUCUGCUAACAGGUCCGAUAACUCUGUAAGGGGUCAAAGUUCCAUGACGCAGGGUGAAAUGUAUUCGUUUCUCAAGAAGUGCUCUAGGAUGGACUCUAAAGUUUUUCGAUAAGUCUUAAGACGAAAAUUUUUUUUGACGGCAGGAAAAUAAUAAUAAUAAACAGAACAAUAACAAUAGGACUUUCCACAGAAAGGUGGAAAGCCCUAAUAAUUGAGACGAAAGUGCCACGUAUUGAAUACAUUUGGCAUUCCUAGGUCAGAAUGGGAACUUGAGUCAUGCAAGUGACAUUUUCACGUUAAAAAAUGCGCGUUUGCCUAAAUUUGGAUUUCUCGUAUUCUGUUGAUUUCUACAUUUCAAGAUUGGCAACUGACCAGGUGUAAAGGUGCACAUUUUCCGUUCUCGGAUGGAAAAAGGGGUGGGUUCGAUUCCCCCGGUCAGUUCACAAGGAAAUGUUGAGUCGCCGUGCUUAAAAAAAAUCAAUUUUCGCAUUCGUCAAGGCGUAAAAGAAUGGCAGGUGGUGAGUGUUUAAAACACUAGUGAUCCUAAUUGUUCGCGAACAAUUAGAGGGCUUCCCACCUUCUAGCGGUUUUUCAGUAGUGUUGAAAUGCUAAAAGCCCCCCCCCCCCCCCUACCCCACCCCACCCUCACCAAAAAAAAAAAAAAAAAAAAAAAAAAAAAUGGAUUUGGCUUGAAAAGAAAUUCAAAUUUGCCGCCUUGAGUGUUGUAGUGUUGGAGAUUAAGGCCUUGGUUUCGCACGAUAGUACCGGUCAAAUAUUUGGAAAAAAAGGGUGCGAGUGUUGCAUAGCCGGCACAUAUCAGGUAAAAGUGUAAUGGGACUUGUGCAGGUGUUUGGGGUGACUUUAGACCUGUUAGAUGUGAUAUUUGGAGGUGCAAAGAAACCGGAUGUGCCAUUUUCCUAGAUUGUAGUAACUGCUGGUGCAUGCUGGGAGUCUAUACAAGCCUCAUGUUGUCAGAUGUUGUGAAGAUGCACUGGAUUUGACCGUGUGUGUUGUGGAUUGUGGAAUUGAAUAUACAGUUUGUAAUGGCUCAUCCUAUGUGUUCUAAUUCACGGAGACAAUGUCUUUCAGUCAUUUCACCCAAGGAGGCAUGCAUAUACGGAUUGAUAGGCUUUGACAACAAACAACCAAAAUGGCGGCCGGUGAAUUAGAAAGUGUCUGAGUGCAUGUAGGAUAUCUGAACGGAGAAUAGGAGUACUGCAUCCCAUCUGAUCCUGCAGGUAAGUGUUUAUUUGUUUACAAUGACAGUCAGGAUGGAAUGUCAAUGAGUUCAACUGUCAAGUAAAGUUGCAUCAUCAUUAUAAAAAAAAACAAAACUUAGUCUUUAUGUUGAUGCAGGCAGACAAUUGAAUCUGGCCUAUGUCUUUUCAUGAAUGUAAAUGGAAUUCAUGUUUGAUUGACAAGACAGUCAAGAAAUGGAAGAAGUGGGUGUAGGUCAGAUGUGUAGGUGUAGGUCAGAUUAGCUAGAAUCCUGUAAUUGUUGCAUGGCAUGAGACCGGUCAAAAUAGUGUAUUGAAACAGCUGAUCACAAUCAGAUCACUUGAAGGGUGGGGGAUUUCUUCCUUGGGGACGACAGGCGUGAUGGGUGGGUUGGCCUUACUCGUGGAGACUGGCCCCUGGAUGCGUGACCUUGACCUUUGACCUUGACCCACUUUCAAGGUCAAACCUCAAAAAUCCUGUUGUUGGGCAUGAAACCGGUCAAAAUAGUGUAUUAUAAACAGCUGAUGACAGACAGAUCACUUGAAGGGUGGGGGGUUUCUUCCUUGGGGACGACAGGCGUGAUGGGUGGGUUGGCCUUACUCGUGGAGACUGGCCCCUUGAUGCCUGACCUUGACCUUUGACCUUGACCCACGUUCAAGGUAAAACUUCAAAAACCCAUGGGGGAGAAAGUGUGACCUUGACCUUUGACCUUGACCUCAUUUUGAAGGUCAGAGAGGUCACGGGGCUUCGUUUAAGUGGUCCCGCGUCUCUAUCUACAUCCGUGAAGAAGUUGUGGGCUCGAACGACGACGUCGGAGACUUUCGGGGGCGAGAACCGUGCUUCGGGGUUCUAGGUUUCCCUCGGUCAACUUCUCUGUGCGAGAGUGUUUCAUCUGGAAUUCGUCGGCGAAGGUCUCGCCUCUCCACGACUUGUGGUCUAGUGGGAGUAGCGAUAACGGGGUUUUCGACGUUAAGUCGCCGCCUUUCGCAGAGCGGUCAAAGUUCAGAGUUGUAAUUCAGGAUUCCGAGACCGGUCCAGAAUUCCAUGCUGACCCAUGUGAUAUUUCGAUGCUAUCUGAAGCGGGAAAGAGCGUAUAAAAAGUGCCAUUUUCUGGCCAUUCUGGAUGACCUUGACCUUUGACCUUGACCUACUUUUUCAAGGUCAAGGUCACCCAACCCGUCCCAGUGGGUUCCGUCUCUCUACGACGAAGACUUUAGGAGUCGUCAAUUUGUAGGGGACAAAUCGCAAAACAUGAGGGGGGCAUUAACUCCCUUUAGGGGACACCGAAUCCCUUCAUUUGAAAUUCUUCGCUUCUACUCAUUGACCUCUAUGCUUCAGCAAAGGUUUCAUCCUCCUAUCAUUUACGGUUAAAAAGGAGUAGCGAUAACAAUGAUUUCUGCUAACAGGUCCGAUAACUCUGUAAGGGGUCAAAGUUCCAUGACGCAGGGUGAAAUGUAUUCGUUUCUCAAGAAGUGCUCUAGGAUGGACUCUAAAGUUUUUCGAUAAGUCUUAAGACGAAAAUUUUUUUUGACGGCAGGAAAAUAAUAAUAAUAAACAGAACAAUAACAAUAGGACUUUCCACAGAAAGGUGGAAAGCCCUAAUAAUUGAGACGAAAGUGCCACGUAUUGAAUACAUUUGGCAUUCCUAGGUCAGAAUGGGAACUUGAGUCAUGCAAGUGACAUUUUCACGUUAAAAAAUGCGCGUUUGCCUAAAUUUGGAUUUCUCGUAUUCUGUUGAUUUCUACAUUUCAAGAUUGGCAACUGACCAGGUGUAAAGGUGCACAUUUUCCGUUCUCGGAUGGAAAAAGGGGUGGGUUCGAUUCCCCCGGUCAGUUCACAAGGAAAUGUUGAGUCGCCGUGCUUAAAAAAAAUCAAUUUUCGCAUUCGUCAAGGCGUAAAAGAAUGGCAGGUGGUGAGUGUUUAAAACACUAGUGAUCCUAAUUGUUCGCGAACAAUUAGAGGGCUUCCCACCUUCUAGCGGUUUUUCAGUAGUGUUGAAAUGCUAAAAGCCCCCCCCCCCCCCCCUACCCCACCCCACCCUCACCAAAAAAAAAAAAAAAAAAAAAAAAAAAAAAUGGAUUUGGCUUGAAAAGAAAUUCAAAUUUGCCGCCUUGAGUGUUGUAGUGUUGGAGAUUAAGGCCUUGGUUUCGCACGAUAGUACCGGUCAAAUAUUUGGAAAAAAAGGGUGCGAGUGUUGCAUAGCCGGCACAUAUCAGGUAAAAGUGUAAUGGGACUUGUGCAGGUGUUUGGGGUGACUUUAGACCUGUUAGAUGUGAUAUUUGGAGGUGCAAAGAAACCGGAUGUGCCAUUUUCCUAGAUUGUAGUAACUGCUGGUGCAUGCUGGGAGUCUAUACAAGCCUCAUGUUGUCAGAUGUUGUGAAGAUGCACUGGAUUUGACCGUGUGUGUUGUGGAUUGUGGAAUUGAAUAUACAGUUUGUAAUGGCUCAUCCUAUGUGUUCUAAUUCACGGAGACAAUGUCUUUCAGUCAUUUCACCCAAGGAGGCAUGCAUAUACGGAUUGAUAGGCUUUGACAACAAACAACCAAAAUGGCGGCCGGUGAAUUAGAAAGUGUCUGAGUGCAUGUAGGAUAUCUGAACGGAGAAUAGGAGUACUGCAUCCCAUCUGAUCCUGCAGGUAAGUGUUUAUUUGUUUACAAUGACAGUCAGGAUGGAAUGUCAAUGAGUUCAACUGUCAAGUAAAGUUGCAUCAUCAUUAUAAAAAAAAACAAAACUUAGUCUUUAUGUUGAUGCAGGCAGACAAUUGAAUCUGGCCUAUGUCUUUUCAUGAAUGUAAAUGGAAUUCAUGUUUGAUUGACAAGACAGUCAAGAAAUGGAAGAAGUGGGUGUAGGUCAGAUGUGUAGGUGUAGGUCAGAUUAGCUAGAAUCCUGUAAUUGUUGCAUGGCAUGAGACCGGUCAAAAUAGUGUAUUGAAACAGCUGAUCACAAUCAGAUCACUUGAAGGGUGGGGGAUUUCUUCCUUGGGGACGACAGGCGUGAUGGGUGGGUUGGCCUUACUCGUGGAGACUGGCCCCUGGAUGCGUGACCUUGACCUUUGACCUUGACCCACUUUCAAGGUCAAACCUCAAAAAUCCUGUUGUUGGGCAUGAAACCGGUCAAAAUAGUGUAUUAUAAACAGCUGAUGACAGACAGAUCACUUGAAGGGUGGGGGGUUUCUUCCUUGGGGACGACAGGCGUGAUGGGUGGGUUGGCCUUACUCGUGGAGACUGGCCCCUUGAUGCCUGACCUUGACCUUUGACCUUGACCCACGUUCAAGGUAAAACUUCAAAAACCCAUGGGGGAGAAAGUGUGACCUUGACCUUUGACCUUGACCUCAUUUUGAAGGUCAGAGAGGUCACGGGGCUUCGUUUAAGUGGUCCCGCGUCUCUAUCUACAUCCGUGAAGAAGUUGUGGGCUCGAACGACGACGUCGGAGACUUUCGGGGGCGAGAACCGUGCUUCGGGGUUCUAGGUUUCCCUCGGUCAACUUCUCUGUGCGAGAGUGUUUCAUCUGGAAUUCGUCGGCGAAGGUCUCGCCUCUCCACGACUUGUGGUCUAGUGGGAGUAGCGAUAACGGGGUUUUCGACGUUAAGUCGCCGCCUUUCGCAGAGCGGUCAAAGUUCAGAGUUGUAAUUCAGGAUUCCGAGACCGGUCCAGAAUUCCAUGCUGACCCAUGUGAUAUUUCGAUGCUAUCUGAAGCGGGAAAGAGCGUAUAAAAAGUGCCAUUUUCUGGCCAUUCUGGAUGACCUUGACCUUUGACCUUGACCUACUUUUUCAAGGUCAAGGUCACCCAACCCGUCCCAGUGGGUUCCGUCUCUCUACGACGAAGACUUUAGGAGUCGUCAAUUUGUAGGGGACAAAUCGCAAAACAUGAGGGGGGCAUUAACUCCCUUUAGGGGACACCGAAUCCCUUCAUUUGAAAUUCUUCGCUUCUACUCAUUGACCUCUAUGCUUCAGCAAAGGUUUCAUCCUCCUAUCAUUUACGGUUAAAAAGGAGUAGCGAUAACAAUGAUUUCUGCUAACAGGUCCGAUAACUCUGUAAGGGGUCAAAGUUCCAUGACGCAGGGUGAAAUGUAUUCGUUUCUCAAGAAGUGCUCUAGGAUGGACUCUAAAGUUUUUCGAUAAGUCUUAAGACGAAAAUUUUUUUUGACGGCAGGAAAAUAAUAAUAAUAAACAGAACAAUAACAAUAGGACUUUCCACAGAAAGGUGGAAAGCCCUAAUAAUUGAGACGAAAGUGCCACGUAUUGAAUACAUUUGGCAUUCCUAGGUCAGAAUGGGAACUUGAGUCAUGCAAGUGACAUUUUCACGUUAAAAAAUGCGCGUUUGCCUAAAUUUGGAUUUCUCGUAUUCUGUUGAUUUCUACAUUUCAAGAUUGGCAACUGACCAGGUGUAAAGGUGCACAUUUUCCGUUCUCGGAUGGAAAAAGGGGUGGGUUCGAUUCCCCCGGUCAGUUCACAAGGAAAUGUUGAGUCGCCGUGCUUAAAAAAAAUCAAUUUUCGCAUUCGUCAAGGCGUAAAAGAAUGGCAGGUGGUGAGUGUUUAAAACACUAGUGAUCCUAAUUGUUCGCGAACAAUUAGAGGGCUUCCCACCUUCUAGCGGUUUUUCAGUAGUGUUGAAAUGCUAAAAGCCCCCCCCCCCCCCUACCCCACCCCACCCUCACCAAAAAAAAAAAAAAAAAAAAAAAAAAAAAAAUGGAUUUGGCUUGAAAAGAAAUUCAAAUUUGCCGCCUUGAGUGUUGUAGUGUUGGAGAUUAAGGCCUUGGUUUCGCACGAUAGUACCGGUCAAAUAUUUGGAAAAAAAGGGUGCGAGUGUUGCAUAGCCGGCACAUAUCAGGUAAAAGUGUAAUGGGACUUGUGCAGGUGUUUGGGGUGACUUUAGACCUGUUAGAUGUGAUAUUUGGAGGUGCAAAGAAACCGGAUGUGCCAUUUUCCUAGAUUGUAGUAACUGCUGGUGCAUGCUGGGAGUCUAUACAAGCCUCAUGUUGUCAGAUGUUGUGAAGAUGCACUGGAUUUGACCGUGUGUGUUGUGGAUUGUGGAAUUGAAUAUACAGUUUGUAAUGGCUCAUCCUAUGUGUUCUAAUUCACGGAGACAAUGUCUUUCAGUCAUUUCACCCAAGGAGGCAUGCAUAUACGGAUUGAUAGGCUUUGACAACAAACAACCAAAAUGGCGGCCGGUGAAUUAGAAAGUGUCUGAGUGCAUGUAGGAUAUCUGAACGGAGAAUAGGAGUACUGCAUCCCAUCUGAUCCUGCAGGUAAGUGUUUAUUUGUUUACAAUGACAGUCAGGAUGGAAUGUCAAUGAGUUCAACUGUCAAGUAAAGUUGCAUCAUCAUUAUAAAAAAAAAAAAAACUUAGUCUUUAUGUUGAUGCAGGCAGACAAUUGAAUCUGGCCUAUGUCUUUUCAUGAAUGUAAAUGGAAUUCAUGUUUGAUUGACAAGACAGUCAAGAAAUGGAAGAAGUGGGUGUAGGUCAGAUGUGUAGGUGUAGGUCAGAUUAGCUAGAAUCCUGUAAUUGUUGCAUGGCAUGAGACCGGUCAAAAUAGUGUAUUGAAACAGCUGAUCACAAUCAGAUCACUUGAAGGGUGGGGGAUUUCUUCCUUGGGGACGACAGGCGUGAUGGGUGGGUUGGCCUUACUCGUGGAGACUGGCCCCUGGAUGCGUGACCUUGACCUUUGACCUUGACCCACUUUCAAGGUCAAACCUCAAAAAUCCUGUUGUUGGGCAUGAAACCGGUCAAAAUAGUGUAUUAUAAACAGCUGAUGACAGACAGAUCACUUGAAGGGUGGGGGGUUUCUUCCUUGGGGACGACAGGCGUGAUGGGUGGGUUGGCCUUACUCGUGGAGACUGGCCCCUUGAUGCCUGACCUUGACCUUUGACCUUGACCCACGUUCAAGGUAAAACUUCAAAAACCCAUGGGGGAGAAAGUGUGACCUUGACCUUUGACCUUGACCUCAUUUUGAAGGUCAGAGAGGUCACGGGGCUUCGUUUAAGUGGUCCCGCGUCUCUAUCUACAUCCGUGAAGAAGUUGUGGGCUCGAACGACGACGUCGGAGACUUUCGGGGGCGAGAACCGUGCUUCGGGGUUCUAGGUUUCCCUCGGUCAACUUCUCUGUGCGAGAGUGUUUCAUCUGGAAUUCGUCGGCGAAGGUCUCGCCUCUCCACGACUUGUGGUCUAGUGGGAGUAGCGAUAACGGGGUUUUCGACGUUAAGUCGCCGCCUUUCGCAGAGCGGUCAAAGUUCAGAGUUGUAAUUCAGGAUUCCGAGACCGGUCCAGAAUUCCAUGCUGACCCAUGUGAUAUUUCGAUGCUAUCUGAAGCGGGAAAGAGCGUAUAAAAAGUGCCAUUUUCUGGCCAUUCUGGAUGACCUUGACCUUUGACCUUGACCUACUUUUUCAAGGUCAAGGUCACCCAACCCGUCCCAGUGGGUUCCGUCUCUCUACGACGAAGACUUUAGGAGUCGUCAAUUUGUAGGGGACAAAUCGCAAAACAUGAGGGGGGCAUUAACUCCCUUUAGGGGACACCGAAUCCCUUCAUUUGAAAUUCUUCGCUUCUACUCAUUGACCUCUAUGCUUCAGCAAAGGUUUCAUCCUCCUAUCAUUUACGGUUAAAAAGGAGUAGCGAUAACAAUGAUUUCUGCUAACAGGUCCGAUAACUCUGUAAGGGGUCAAAGUUCCAUGACGCAGGGUGAAAUGUAUUCGUUUCUCAAGAAGUGCUCUAGGAUGGACUCUAAAGUUUUUCGAUAAGUCUUAAGACGAAAA